Molecule: long non-coding RNA, 215 nt
Filed under: Elaeis guineensis (African oil palm)
Lineage: Eukaryota; Viridiplantae; Streptophyta; Magnoliopsida; Arecales; Arecaceae
Description: long non-coding RNA (EGUI_LNC067647)
Source: RNAcentral
UGUACAUGAAUUAUGAAUUAAUAAAAAUUAUUUUGAUAUUUUUCAUCAUAAAAUAUUUUAUCUUCUAAUGAACUCCUAUGUUGUGGUGAAGUCCUUAGGACUAUUUAGACUCGACAAAGGAGGAUUUAUCGUUUAGUCCUUAAAUCUGUUCGCGACCAAAUGAUACGUUGUUACCAAGGACGAUAAUGUUUAUCAAGCAUAGGUCAUUGUGUGCC